AUUGAACGCUGGCGGCAGGCCUAACACAUGCAAGUCGAACGGUAGCACAGAGAGCUUGCUCUCGGGUGACGAGUGGCGGACGGGUGAGUAACGUCUGGGAAACUGCCCGUGGGAGGGGGAUAACUACUGGGAACGGUAACUAAUGCCGGAUAACGUCGCAAGCCCAAAGUGGGGGACCUUCGGGCCUCAGCCCAUCGGCGUUGCCCAGAUGGGAUUAGUUAGUAGGUGGGGUAAUGGCUCACCUAGCCAACGAUCUGUAGCUGGUCUGAGAGGACGACCAGCCACACUGGAACUGAGACACGGUCCAGACUCCUACGGGAUGCAGCAGUGGGGAAUUUUGGACAAUGGGCGAAAGCCUGAUCCAGCCAUUCCGCGUGCAGGAUGAAGGCCCUCGGGUUGUAAACUGCUUUUGUACAGAACGAAAAGGUUUCUACUAAUACUAGGAGCUCAUGACGGUACUGUAAGAAUAGGCACCGGCUAACUACGUGCCAGCCGCCGCCGUAA
Molecule: ribosomal RNA, 504 nt
Filed under: uncultured bacterium
Lineage: Bacteria
Description: partial 16S ribosomal RNA
Rfam family: Bacterial small subunit ribosomal RNA
Source: RNAcentral